CAAUAGCGUAUAUUAAAGUUGUUGCGGUUAAAAAGCUCGUAGUUGGAUUUCUGCCGAGGACGACCGGUCCGCCCUCUGGGUGAGUAUCUGGCUCGGCCUGGGCAUCUUCUUGGAGAACGUAGCUGCACUUGACUGUGUGGUGCGGUAUCCAGGACUUUUACUUUGAGGAAAUUAGAGUGUUUCAAGCAGGCUUACGCCUUGAAUACAUUAGCAUGGAAUAAUAAGAUAGGACCUCGGUUCUAUUUUGUUGGUUUCUAGAGCUGAGGUAAUGAUUAAUAGGGAUAGUUGGGGGCAUUCGUAUUUAACUGUCAGAGGUGAAAUUCAUGGAUUUGUUAAAGACGGACUACUGCGAAAGCAUUUGCCAAGGAUGUUUUCAUUGA
RNAcentral lists this ribosomal RNA (380 nucleotides) under uncultured eukaryote. RNAcentral describes it as "partial 18S ribosomal RNA". It matches the Rfam family "Eukaryotic small subunit ribosomal RNA", at positions 592 to 976 of the family's 1831-position model. The record is from RNAcentral.